GACGUAGCGCUUGGCGGCCGUAGUCUUCGUUGGAUGAGAGGUGGAACGAAUAGCUUGCAAUAGUGAAAUCGAUAACUUAGUAACGAUAAGACAAUCGUCUUUAAUUUUUACGCUGUAAAACAAAGUACAGCCACUGUGUUUCAACGUUCAAUGGCGAUCUAUGACAGUUCAUUAAUAUCUUUGUUGUCCUUCGCUCAUGCUGUACGUGAAAUGGGCCACGAAGUGUUCCGAUCAUAAUUUUGAAGUUUGUGUAAUAUUUGGGGUCCACUCGAGCAAAAAAAAGAUGCCUAAGCAUCAACUGUUUAGGAGUCGUAAUCUCCUAUAAAAUUAGGCUGUUGUAUAGAAAUGUUUACAUAAAAGCUGCAUUUGAUUUCGUUGCACUGCUAUAAUAAAUUGUGCUUCAUAGUCAACAAAGCGGGAUCGCACAACUUCCGCGUGGUACCGAUCAGGAGAAUAAUGUGUAACCAGCAAGUAGUUACAGUUAUACGGGACAAAAAAACUGUCAACAGAAAAAACACCGCGCUGUUGAGCCUGCCGUGUUAUAUUUCAACGAGAUAACGAACCUAUAGUAACUUUGCACCAUCGAAAUGGCAUUUCCGCAAAAGAUACUUUUCCCGGCAUCUAUAUAUUACCAUCUAAACAGCAAUGGAAAGGUACCACUCGAAGCCAGCGGCAAAAGAAGAUACCUGACGUCAAGGGCAAGGGCCACUGUAUGCUCUACGAUACGAAUAUACGCCUCUAGCUUUUUCCGUACUUAUCGUCGUAUUGAUUAUAGAACACUGGACAUGAACUAUGGAUCAGCGUUUCUACCGCCCACAGGCAGCAGCAGCAUCAAAAACAAUUUGCAGGAACUCCCUACUCCCUACUUGCAGGAACUGCCUGUUAGCGCCGUGUUCAACUGGAAUUUUUGCCGCUUCAGUCUCUCGAUCAGGCACGUCAGAUGCACUAGCACAUAUAAAGCAUACAGGGCGGUGGCUCUAAAUGAAAAAUUUCAACGUUAAUUUUUCUCCUGAGACUGUUUAUAUAUAGACAAAAAACAGAUAUUUGAAUUAAAAAAAGAGAUAACAGUAUAAUUUCCGAUAGUCAUGUUUGUUCAACGUUAUUGAAAUCCACUACGAUUACAGCUUCAAGUCUAGACCUAAGCCACUUCAGAAUAUUCUUUGUUUGAUCCACAAGUAUUUUUAAUAGUAACCUUGCAUUAAAGCGAUAUUUCCAGAUGUCAACUGGUUAGAGCGUCACUUCAGAUAUGUCAUACACAUACGGAAUGAAGUUUUACCAGUCAAAGGUAGCCACGUUACGACCAGACGCAUUUGGUGUACUGAGAAAUGGAACUAGUUUGCCAAUUGUGGGCAAGUACAGAGUUAAGCCGGAGCUACCCAUACGUCGUGAACUCGUCGGGGGAUCCAAACGUACGGCUGUGCAAUCGAUUCAGCUGGACUAUUUCGGUGACUCCUCUUACUGUAUGCCGCUGUGUUACGGAAAUGCCCCACCAGAGGACGCCAGUUGUACCAAAGUCAUCUCGGUGAUAGCUAACUCGAGCUAUUCGACAGAAGCCAAUUCGAUUCAUCGAUUGUUGUCUCUACACGGUGGCCUUCACUAAAUCAUUGCUUUUUGUUCACCUUGUUUUUUGUUGCAGUAGCGAUCUGCGCCUCUACUGGUAGCCUAGAGUGAGCUUUUGGCUUGCUCAGUGGCCUAUUGGUGAGGCGCAGUGAAGGCUUUUCAACGCGUUUCUUUCGCCAAAACCGCGACCCGCGAGACCUUCUCACGCAUUUAAGCGCUAGCUAGCUAGCUAGCUAGCUAGCUAGCUAUGAAACCCCACAACAAACGAACUUGUGAAUCUAAAGUCAAUAGAGGUGGGCUCUCAACGACUAUAAGCAGAGAACCGUUUGACAUUACCGCCAUUUCGAUGCGGCCGGAAUAGUUGGUUAUCGGCUCAUGCUUGGUCCAUAUGCUGAGUGAUCGAACGUCUUCGGCAAAAUGUUACUACUGUUCUUUAUGAAGAAGCAACAUCUCAGCGGCGAUUGAUAGACGACGGUUUACUCGUUCGCCACAGCGCAAUCACAGCUGUUCAUCGAAUCGGACAAACGCACUUACUUCAGAGUUCCGAAAUUUGCCAUCUAGGAAAGUGUUUAUGGAUCUUCCUUCGUUUUCUCUUCUAUUGCUCGCGUUCACUUACUGGCUGUGUUUCAUUUGUCAUGCUAGUUCUAAUUCUUCCUACUAUCGACUACGUGUAGCCAUUACGAUGAUAUGUCCAUAGGCAACAAUACUCCACCUUGGAGACCUGCUUAAUAAACUCGAAACGUUGCUCUAUUGGGUGCCAUAUGAUACCAUAACUAACCGGGUGACAGACAAAUGAUCUGAUAAAGUAUUAUGUAAAAGAUUCUCAUGCUUAUAGCAAACUCUUCUUUGAUUAUUCAAAAGACAUUUGUCCUAAAGAUCAACUCGACGGUACUUCGAUAAAUAUGGUACGUAUACGACGAAUUAAUGAAGUCGCUGGAAACCUACUAUCAAGCUGGGAUCGUCCAGGGUUGGUUAAACGCUGGUCUCCGAUCCGUUAUCGACGAAGAUGUGUUAGUUUGUUGAUGCCCAGCAUAGGAUUUCGUUCGUCGAUCACCUAAAUACGUCUUGGGAAAGCUGUUCUCAAUGGACAACAUUAGACGUACGUCGGCAGAAAAUCCGUCAGCGAGCUAGUUUGAAAACUUCGAUCGAAAACCAAUUUUCUAUUGGUCAGAACAGAAAUUCCGGGAAAUCAGCCGAUCGGAAAUAGCAAAAGUUGAAAGAUCAAGUCAUUAUAUCGAAUUUGGCUGCUGGAAUAUCUGUCUAGUAAAUUGCUAUGGUCGAGGAAGUUGUGUCAUGGUAAUGCCUAUGGUUACAUGAUUUGAUUUGUAUGUAGGAUGUGAAACGUCAAACAGUGCGUUUAUGUAUACCGAAAUAAAAAAAAAACCAGUCAAGAUUGGACACCUGUAACUAACUGCACCGCUCUGUCAUAAAUAAUGAAAAUAGAAAAUCGAAUUCAGGCACUUCUACGGUAGAUGCGUUUUAUCUAUAAUAAUAUAUUUCAAUAGAUGCAAAAUACACAUUUGUGCGCCGUGGAUGGAUGGGUGGUAUUUGACGAAUGAGAUCGACCGGCGCGCGAUUGGGUGGCUGAAGGUUUCCCUUGCAGCUCAGGAAAUGGCUAAAUAUUAGCGGUAUAGAUUUUUAUAGUUGCAAUACAACAUUUAGACCGCUCUUGUAAC
RNAcentral lists this long non-coding RNA (3236 nucleotides) under Varroa destructor (honeybee mite). Its description in RNAcentral is "uncharacterized LOC111251629, transcript variant X1". The record is from RNAcentral. Lineage: Eukaryota; Metazoa; Arthropoda; Arachnida; Mesostigmata; Varroidae.